RNAcentral lists this transfer RNA (75 nucleotides) under Candidatus Falkowbacteria bacterium RIFOXYB2_FULL_47_14. Its description in RNAcentral is "tRNA-Thr". It matches the Rfam family "tRNA". From Rfam's summary of the family: Transfer RNA (tRNA) molecules are approximately 80 nucleotides in length. The record is from RNAcentral. Lineage: Bacteria; Candidatus Falkowiibacteriota. RNAcentral also lists the same sequence under 1 other name.
GCCGAAAUAGCUCAGCGGUAGAGCACUUCCAUGGUAAGGAAGGGGUCUCGGGUUCAAUCCCCGAUUUCGGCUCCA